RNAcentral lists this ribosomal RNA (397 nucleotides) under uncultured Leuconostoc sp. RNAcentral's name for it is "bacterial SSU rRNA". It matches the Rfam family "Bacterial small subunit ribosomal RNA", at positions 986 to 1382 of the family's 1533-position model. The record is from RNAcentral. Lineage: Bacteria; Bacillati; Bacillota; Bacilli; Lactobacillales; Lactobacillaceae.
AUCCUUUGUAAGCUUUAGUAGAUAGAAGUGUUCUCUUCGGAGACAAAGUGACAGGUGGUGCAUGGUCGUCGUCAGCUCGUGUCGUGAGAUGUUGGGUUAAGUCCCGCAACGAGCGCAACCCUUAUUGUUAGUUGCCAGCAUUCAGUUGGGCACUCUAACGAGACUGCCGGUGACAAACCGGAGGAAGGCGGGGACGACGUCAGAUCAUCAUGCCCCUUAUGACCUGGGCUACACACGUGCUACAAUGGCGUAUACAACGAGUUGCCAACCCGCGAGGGUGAGCUAAUCUCUUAAAGUACGUCUCAGUUCGGACUGCAGUCUGCAACUCGACUGCACGAAGUCGGAAUCGCUAGUAAUCGCGGAUCAGCACGCCGCGGUGAAUACGUUCCCGGGUCUU